GACGAACGCUGGCGGCGUGCCUAAUACAUGCAAGUCGAGCGAAGUUUUUCUGGUGCUUGCACCGGAAAAACUUAGCGGCGCACGGGUGAGUAACACGUAAAGAACCUGCCUCAUAGACUGGGACAACUAUUGGAAACGAUAGCUAAUACCGGAUAACAGCAUUAACUGCAUGGUUGAUGUUUAAAAGUUGGUUUUGCUAACACUAUGAGAUGGCUUUGCGGUGCAUUAGCUAGUUGGUGGGGUAAAGGCCUACCAAGGCGACGAUGCAUAGCCGACCUGAGAGGGUGAUCGGCCACACUGGGACUGAGACACGGCCCAGACUCCUACGGGAGGCAGCAGUAGGGAAUCUUCCGCAAUGGGCGAAAGCCUGACGGAGCAACGCCGCGUGAGUGAAGAAGGAUUUCGGUUCGUAAAGCUCUGUUGUUAGGGAAGAAUGAUUGUGUAGUAACGAUACACAGUAGAGACGGUACCUAACCAGAAAGCCACGGCUAACUACGUG
This 499-nucleotide ribosomal RNA is filed under the name uncultured bacterium. Its description in RNAcentral is "partial 16S ribosomal RNA". It matches the Rfam family "Bacterial small subunit ribosomal RNA", at positions 28 to 507 of the family's 1533-position model. The record is from RNAcentral.